CCAUGUUUGGUUUGAUAUUUCUUCUACAACUCUUAUUUAAAGACUAUAAAAAGACUAAAAAAAGUCUUGUGGCAAAUUAUCGUAAUAUAGUAAUAAUAUUUUAAUGAAGUUGAAACAUUCAAACUCGCAUUAAGAAAGGAAAAUGCUCUGUAACACAACGAUUGAGAUUUGAAAUAUCCAAACUCUUAUUAAUAAAAACAUUCCAGGAUGUCAAUACUCAAUAGAAUAUCAAGUUCAUACUUUUAUUAUAGCAGCAUUUUUAAAAUAUGUCCGAAUCAACCGGACCUAAUGCAGCUGUCAAUUGUCAUUAGCAUCCUCUAUAUAUUAAGUGAAAAACAAAAUAGAAAUGCACCUCUGUAUUUUGUCGAAAAAGAAAGAAAAAAUUCAGCUCUUAUUCCGUAAAUAUUUACAUUUCAUGUCAGUACUCCAACUUCAUAUUUUUAUACAUCAAUACAUACAUUUUUUAGAAACCUUUUGCAGACUCGUUGCCUCUAUUAUAAGGCAAAAACAUUCCUUCAAACCCCAAAAUAUAAUCAAAAUUAAAAGGCUAUAUCUUUGGAAAUAUAAGUUUGGUUAAAUGGUUACCUAGUCCAAAAUUCGCUCUUGAGAUUACGGUUCUAAAUUCUCAUUUCUUUCCAUCUAUUACUGUUUUUGGGACACACGUUGUUUGUAAUGAUGCCACAUUUUCUUUGGGGCUUUGGACUCCCAAAACUAUGGGACAUCAUUGACCUUUUACAUCUUCUAUAUAUCGUGCUAGAAUAUCCUCCACAUUUUGUUUGUAAUUACAGCGUUCAUUAAACGAACAGGACUAACGCCUUACUCGAGAACCGGCACCUUAAGGUCUUCCUUCUUCGUCCAGUCUUCCUGAUGAAUAACCUCCUCAUUCAUAUAAUAUUCUUAUAUAUACGCUUUUACUAUAGUUUUAGACGUCUGUUACAAUUAAAGAUAUAAUAUUUUAUUUUCAACGUAUAUUUUUCGGCCUAUACACAACAUUGUUCAUUAGUGGAGAAAUGAAUCGCACGUUUGCGUGUCAUACCCUACGACCCCACGUCCCUACCCCGGUGGUGCUCAAAUAUGGUUGGGGUGGGGAAGAAUCCAAUUAAGAUGUAAUAGUAUAAAUCAGAAACUCAGCACAUGGCACGACCUCACCAGUCUCGUAGAAAUGAUAAGUUUUUUGGUCAUAUAUAGUAUAUUAACAAUUGAAUAUUUAAAUCUUUUAAUUCUUUUUAUAUAUUUUAUCAAUGAUAUGCUUGGUCUAACACAGUUAAUGUUACAAUGCGGAGUUUUUGCAAAAAGACACCACAUUGCAUAAUCCUAAUUUGAAAUGCUUUCUAUUUAUGUCAGAAUAUCUUCUAGGAUGGUAUUACAUAUAUCUACAUAUAGGCUAAGAAUGGGAAGCUGUAAAAACAUGGUUCAACCACCCGGUGAAUGUGCCACAUGUGUAUUUGCCAUUCAUCAACUUUGAUUUUAUAAAAUGUGUUUCCUCUUUUUUAAUAAUAAAAAAUUAAUGAACCACUAGUGGUUCAAUUUUACAAAGAAAAAUUAAGUUAUGCUAUGAACAGUAGAUAUACAUCAUUUAACUAGUGUUAUAGUGAAUAAUAAGCAGUUCUUGAUUUUUAAUAAUAAAUAUAAAUAAAUAUUGAUAAUUUUAUCAUUAUAAGAACAACAAUAUUUGUUAAAUGAAAUGUGUUCCAUCUUGCAAAAUCAUAGUCAACAUAUUGAAUUGAUGUGUAGUUAAUAUCAAUGUCAAAAGUUCAAAACUAUUAUACUACUUUGAUGUGUUGGUUAAUAUUAAACUCAAAAUUAUCAAAUUAUAGUAUUUUAAAAUCAUUAUAUUUGUAUAUUUAAUUUAAAAUCCCAAAAUAAUUCUAUAUAUAUGUUUGAAUUAAUUUUAUAUAGUAUUUUGAAUACAAAUAUAAAGAAAUUAUGUUUAUGACAUUAUAACUUAUUUUUAAAUGAUUACUUUAAAUACUGAAAAUAGUUAUUUUAAAACUAUAAAAAUUAUGUUUAUGACAUUAUAAUAAUUUUUACAUUAUUAAUUUUAAUAAUGAAAAUAUAUAUUAAAAAUAAAUUAUAAUAAAAUUAUACAAUAUUUUGAACCGAUUUUUAUCUAUUUUCACCAUUCAAACCUAUGUUUUGAAGCGCUAGACCUGCUUGAUCUGUUCGAUCCGCUUGAUCCGCUUUUGAUCUGCUCGAUCCGCUUGAUCCGCUUUUGAUCUGCUCGAUCCGCUUGAUCCUCUUUUGAUCUGCUCGAUCCGCUCGAUUCGUUUGAUCCACUAGAUCCGCAACGCUUGGUCCGCUUUUUCCAUUUGGAAACCUUGAAAAAAUGUUUUAUUAGUACAUUUCCAAAUCUCGCCUAUGAAUUGACACAACCAUACAGACACCUUAUUAAAAAAAUUAACUAACCAAAUACAGUGCUCGGAUAUAGUACUGUUCUAGCAUAGCCAGUCUUGGGCCAAACCAGAUAAAACAUCCACCUCCAUCCCCCAAAAAUUUUGAAAACAAUUAUAUAUAAAUAGGUUCCAAAAUUUGUAAAAAAAACUUUUAGGCCCUCAAACUAUAAAAAUCAAUUUUAAACCGUCUAUAUCCCCCUCCCAAAAUCUCAAAACUGGCCAUGUGUUCUAGUAUAUGAACCUAAUCAGCUCGAACCGCCGAGCAUGUAUCUAAGCCAUCACUAUCUCAAGUUAGACACUUCUGUAAAUAUUUCUUCAUUUGUUACAAUAUAUAGAGAUAAAAAAUUCACAUAUCGGAUUUUUUCUUGAAAUUUGUUCUCUCCCGUUCUUUCAUAAAAUUAAUAAAAUUUCAGACACAGCCAUAGUCGUUGCCAUCAAUAUUUCAUAUGUUAUUAUAAUCAAUAGAAUUAAAGCUUAUAUGAUGAUGUGCCCAGUGAUAAAAAAAAAGUAAUCAACAUUCCCUUGUUUUAAUGUCUGAUUUUAUGCAUUAAUUCACAUUCUUAUAUAUUUUAUGAAAACUAUUUCUGAAAAUAUUUAAAAGAACAUAUAUAAAAUAAAGUUAAGAUGACAUAUAUAAUUUUGAAACUCAAUUUAGCAAAAAAAUCACUUUAAGAAUAGCUAAAACUUUUAAAUAUAAGAAAACAUAUAAAAUAUAAACUGUAUGCUUUUUACAAAUUUCACAAAAGACAAGGUUUUACCUAAAACUCGGAAUCGAAUUUCAAUGUGAAAAAUUUGUAUUAAUUGAGAUAGGGUGGCCGUUCGGUAUCAUUUGUGUUUGUUUCAGAUUCUUAGGUUUUCAUAUUUUUGUGUUUAUUUUCCUAGGUUCAGUUCGAGUUUUAUAUAUGUUCAGAUCAGGUUUAUUUAAUAAUACUUCUGAUUAUUUUAUAACUUUGUCUAAAACUCAUUUUGGAUUUAAAUUUAUUUUGGAUUUGGUUAAUUUCAAAAUUCAUUUUUUUUUUACAGCAAGACAUUCACAGACUCAUGUUGACUCUAUAAACCAAAUCGGCAACUCCGCAUCCAUAUGAACGACGAAAGAUGGUUGUUUCCUAGCACUACGUGCCAAGCUAUCCGCCCUUUGGUUCUCCGUCCGGGGUACAUGGAUGAUGUCUGAGUUGAGGAAGCUUCUUCGUAAAAGCUUGAUAUCUUCCAGGUAGCUUUCAAAUGCUGGCCAUUCUUCUGGUUCUGAAACCAUCUUCACCAAUUGAGAACAAUUUGUUGCAAACGUAACCUGAAACUGUCGUAAGUUCUUCAUACAUUCCAUUGCCCAAAUCAACGCCUCCACCUCCGAGUGAAGAGGUGAUAGACAUGCCCUUACAUUCUUUGCUCCUAGUAAACCAUCAAAACCCGGUAAGGUACUAUACCAUCCUUGUCCCGAAAAUAGCUCUUUUUCCUUCCACGAACCAUCUAUGAAACACCAUCGUCCUGUAGUUCUAAUAUAGGUCUGGUCUGUACUUGCCGCUCCCUACUUUGAGUAGUGAUUACCUGUGCUUCAGCCCAAAGUGUCGAUUCUAGUUCUGCUAAUCGAAGUGUUUCCCUUGGAUCAAUAUCCAGAUUAUUAAACAUUUUAUUGUUCCUACCUUUCCAUAUAUACCAUAAUAUCCAUGCGAAUUGGUGAUCAUCCAUUUUUGGAGUAACUCUCCAAAAGAGAUGAUCCAUGUUAUCAAAAAACGAACAAGUAGGAAAAUAGUUCUGAUUCGAUGGUAUCUUAGAUAAGACCCACACUUGACGUGCUGGAGGGUAUUCAAAAAACACAUGAUUUAUUGAUUCCUCCGGGUCUCCACAUCGAGCACAACAAAUAUCUCUUUGUAUCCCUCUCCCACAAAGAUUCUUCAUUACCGCUAUACAACCCGAAAGGAGUUGCCAUAGGAAAUGCUUUAACUUCGGCGGGCACCGCACUUCCCAACAGAAAGCUUUUAACGUAUCCAUUGUGGGUUCAUAAAAAUCUGGUGGUUUUUCCUUAUCAGGAUAGACCCGUUCCACUUGAUACCCUGAUUUAACCGAAUAUUUCUCAUUAUUAGUAAAAUGCCAUCCAUUCCUAUCUUCCAUCUGGUGUCUACUUAAUGGAAUACUUUCAAUAAUUUUUGCAUCAUGAAGAUCCACCAAAGCUCUAAUUACCUCAAUAUUCCAAGUUCGGGAUUUCAAAUUAACGAGGGAUUCCAAAUUAAUUUCAAAAUUCAUAUUCCGGUAUUUAUAGUAUCAUAUGAAAAUAAAUGUUGAAUUGAAACAUUUUAAUUAUUUAGUUAGGUUCUGAAAACUAUCAUGGAUAGUAAUUUGGAUUUCUGGUUGCUUUUUCUCUGAGGUGCUUAGGUUAUUCAAUUUUUUGAGUUUGUCUGGUCAUUCAUUCGAAUUUGGCUAAUAACACUUCAGAUUUAGAUAUAUGUAAUAUCAUCAUGCAGAUCCAUUUGGAUUUUUCACAGCUCGGGUACAGAUUCGGAUUUAGGUUUUUGGUACGGGUUUGGAAUUGAAAAAAGAACAAGAAAAAGGUGAUUUUUUCUAAUCAAGAACUGUUUUACCGAUGAUGCUCGUGCAUCGGUGUUGCUCCACGACGCCUCUAUUUCGUUCCAUCCAGACCAUGCAUCCAGAUGUGGUUCAUGGAAUUUGGAAAGCAAAUGGAAGAAGAAAUAUACAUGUUGCAUUAUUCCUAGAAGGUGUGAUCCUAUUUUUUUUUUUUUGACGUCGAAGUGUGAUCCUAUUUACAAAGACUUUCCCAUCACCGAAUUAAGAUGUGUCAUAAAUUAGAUGUAAUAUCUUACUAGACCUUGACCCGCCCGACCGGGCGGGUAUUUAUUUUAUGUUUUUAGUUUUUUUUUUAUAUUAAAUGAUGUAUUUGUAAUAUUGAAAAAUAAAUUUAUAUUGAAAAUUAGUCUUUGCACUUAUAAUAAAAAUUAAAAGUUAAAUAAAAUAUUCUGAUAUAAAUUUUAAAUUUCAUAAUUAAAAUAAUAUAGUGGCGGUCAUAUUUUUUUCCAAUUUCAAAAUCUAAUCUUCCUUAAAGACAAAGAAAAUAAAUUUAUAAAUACAUAAAAUAUAUAAACAUAUUUGGAACUAUAAUUUCAAUUAAAAUAAAUUUGUUAAAGAAAAAUAAUCUUACUGUUAUUAUUUAUUUCUAGAGCUUGACCCGUGACCGUAUAAAUAUUUGCUUUCACUUUAUUUUUUUUCUUUGUACUAAUGGUAUAAUAUAUAUAUGUAAAUUAAAAUAUAUUACAUAAUUGUUAAUAUAACAUUUUUAAACAUAACAAUUUUAUUUAUUACUUUGAAUAAUUAUAUUUUUUUAUUUUAAUCGUCUAUUAUAUCACAAUGUAUCAUAUAAACAAAAUUCAAUAUUUAUAACUAAUUGGACUUAUAUUAUGACAGCAUUAUACUAAUAUAUGAAUAAACUAUUUUAUAUUUUAUUUAUAUGUUAUAUAAAUUGAUUAUGAUGUGUGAUUUUUUAUUUUAUUAUUUAUUACUUAUAAAUAUUAAAAAUAUUGAGUAUGUUAAUACGAAAUAUAUUAGGAAAUUUAUUUUGGUUAUGAUUUGAUAAAGAAAAUCUAUUAUUUAAAUUUUGGAAAGAUAUUAAAUUCUUAAAUCUAUUAUUUAAAUUAGGAAAAGACAAGCAUGCUUAAAUAUAGGUUCAAUAAAUAUCUUAAUAGCAUUCUAAUGUAAAUAAGUAGUAAAACUAAGGGAUAUUUCUAUUUUGUACUUCUCUUUUAAUAAUAUAGAUGCACAACCCCUUAUGGAAUUAAGAUGUAAUAAAUCGUAAAGAUCGGAAACUCGGCACAUGGCACGACCUCACCAUCCUCGUAUAAAUGAGGAGGUGCUAUUAUAAAAAGACCAAUAAAUUUGUGUUAUAUCUGGCGAUUAAUAUAUUCAAAUCACAUUAGGAAUUAGGGCAAUGAUAAGUUCUUAUAAUAGAUUCUAGGGAGAUAUUGACACGGUCACACUUUUCUUAAAGUUCAUGACCAUACGAAAACAACACAUACUAAUAAGUUGUUGAAAAAAAAUUCUUAUUUGUGUAAUUUAUUCGAAUCAAGAGGCACUACGUGGAGUACGAUACACAAAUGGGCAGAUAUCAUCAUGUGAUUCGAAAAAACUGACCAACCAAAAUAGUGGUCAGACUUGCAAACUAGUGUCCAAGUAAAGAGAAAUCAGUUUGCCUCGAACCCAAGUGCGUUAGUUUUAUAAAUAUUUCCUUUCACACGAUAUAUAUAUGGAGAUCCAAAACUCAGCCAUCAGUUUCACUUUCUCUUAAAAUUUGUUCUCUCUCUCUUGUUCUAUCCGUACAUCUAGUUAAGAUUCAAGUGUAAAUCACUGUUUUCUGUGUACUUGUGAUUGAACAAUUUUCACUAUUAGUUUUACAAAAAAAUAAUCCAAAAUCGAACAGUUUAAUCUGUUUUUCUUACACAAACUUAUUGAAAAUCAAAAAUGUUACAACAUCAUUUUUUUUCUUUCAUAGAAGAAAAUACAACUUCCUGGAAAAACAAGAACUGAAAUGAAAAAUAUAAUGACAAUGAAUGUCAAGAAGGUGGCUUAUAAUAAGCAUAAACAGCAUAAAUUUGUUUUUUUUCUUUCAUAGAAGAAAAUACAACUUAUUGGAAAACAAGAACUGAAAUGAAAAAAUAAAAUGACAAUGAAUGUCAAGAAGGUGGCUUAUAAUAAGCAUAAACAGCAUAAAAGCUCUGGACUAAUGUGAGCACUAGCAGGAUCACUGCAGCGAAAAAUGAGAAAUAUGCCCAAGGGUUAUUGAAGUACCUGUGUUUUAAAGUAGCCUUCAAAGCAUUCCACCUACGGCUAUAGUAAUAGUUAACCUCAUCAGACAGUUUAGAUAAAUAACUAUCUUUGGGAUCGAAAAACACUUCCUGACAUAGCCGGUUGAACAAAUCCGCAACUUCAGCAUCACUCCCUAGCCAAUGUUCAAUGAUACCACAGUAGUGCAAGUAGCUAACAUCUUCAGAAGAAUUUAUUAGAUUAUCCAUGAAAAUUAUGUAUGAUGUUAUGUCCUUGGUCGAGUCAAUAUGGCAUUGUUCGAAAGCUAUAAGAUUCGAAAAGAGGGAUUUGGUACCUACAAUAAACACAAGGAGGGUUCCAUGAAAUUUUAGUUUUUAUACAAAAUAAAACAACAGAAAGUUGAUCAUGAGGCUGCGUAACUGGAAUACCAUUUUUCUGGAUCUAGAUAUUACAUUAUGAUUCCUAACAAAUAUAUUAUUUGUAAAAAUACAUAUAAUACAAGAAGUAGAUGUAACAAGUUUAGUGGAUGAUGGAUAAAGAAAGAAAUUAAAUAGUUAAAUAUAUAUAUGUGGACUGAACUAUAAAAUCUAAAAAACCAGAAAUAAAUAAACGAAAACGUUGUGACUUACCGUCGUGGAUUAGUAGUUUGGGUAUCUCUAGACAACCGUGUUCGAACCGGAUAUCCCAAAACCUGUCGGUUUUCCUUGUCUUGAAUUUAACACCAGCUUCUCUUAGUUCCGUGACGCAAUGUACGAGUUGUUGUUGUCGCUUGUCCACCAGGUUCAACGGGAGCGGAUCCUCCUCAGACCUCGGAUUCGGUGUAUAACUAAACUUGAGGAGGCUUCGACGGAAAACAUCUAGACAGUGCAAGUCACCAUUGUCGCCAAGUGAGUUCAAGGAUCUUUCCAGCCAGGGCUUGAGUUUUGACGGGUUCAAUCUGGUAGAGGCCUCUCCUGUUGGCAUUAGUGGAUCAAAGAACUUAACGGCUACUUGUGCCACUAAACCGGUUUGGUUCAGUGUACCAAGCUGUAGCUCUAAUAACCGGUCUAGAACGAAGAGAGGUAGUUGAUUUUCCAGCAUUACCAUGUCACGUUGAAUUGAAUGCAUCAAUCCCCGCAUGGCGAAAACAGGAUCGUUGCGUGCAUAUCUGCUCAGCCAAAACAAUAAUAAUCAUAAGAAUGAGAUCGUAUCAUCACUAAUGUACAGGAUACGAUCAUAACUCUGAUGUUAAACAUGAUUUUAAAAUAUAGUAAAUAAUUAAAAUAAUAAUGAAAUUCAAAAUUUUAGAUAAUUGAAUGAACAUUAGACAACAAGUAACAAGACAAAACCGUAGGUUUAUUUAGACUUACCCGAUUGGCUGGAAUCCUUCCACAGUUCCCCUGAAGAGCUCUAGGACAAAACAGCCAUCAAGAACAAGCAUUUCUGUGAACUCAUUAACGCUUAAAGCAAUAGGCCCUUGGUAGCAAGCACGAGCCCUCUCCUCAAGCUCUUUCAUGGCAUCAAUAUAUAUUUCAAUGCCUUGCCCGGUGCGUGACAUGAUCAUGUUGACUGCACGCCACUUGUGAAACUCCAUGGGCAGAAGAUGUUUGUUGCCAUGAUGGUACGGACCUAGCGAGACGGUUUGAGGGAAGUAGGACUUCUUGUCGUUUUCUUGCAGGUGAAGUGGAACUCUAUAAAUACAGAGUUUGUCCCAACUAGUUGUGGAGCCGUCUCGAAGUGCUUGCUCCAUCUUGCCUUUCACUGAAAUCACCCAUUCUUCUCUUUGCUGCUCGUGGUUCUGCAAGCCAUUCUCUUGACCCAGUCCGUUAAUACCCGGUAAAGGUAAACCAAGGAGAUUCAGAUCUUGAACCGGUUGAGAUUGUCGGUUUCUUGUUUGAUCUCUCAUGCGUAGUAAGUACCAGGUCAACAUGCGUCUGUUGAUGAUAAUUGGUUGACCAUCGGUGUGAAGAUUAACUAAAACCAUUGUUCUCGCUGGUUGAAGUCGUUUCAGGAGAGUGUGAGCGAGAGGGAUAGGUCGAGAGUGUAACUGUGAAAUGUCAAAUAAACUGCUGAAAGUAAUUUAAAGCUGUGAUUUGGCCAUGUGUUUGCUUAUUUUUCAAACUAAAAAUCUCGUAUAAAAAGAUUUGUACUCUUAUAAUAAGACUCUCAUAAAUGCUUGUUAUUUCUAAAGUCAAUGAGUGAGAUUCAAACACCAAAACUCUUAUUAAAAAUAAAGACGCUAAACUCUUAUAAAAAGACUUAACAAAAUUCGUGUAACAUGCUCAAGGGAAAUUGCAAUACAUGAGAAGAAAUGUGAAAAAAAUUAGGAAAACAAUAUAUUAAAAAUCCAGAUUUGCAUCGAGUACGUGUUUUUUUUUAAUAUACGCGGUAUUUUCUUCCAUGUUCAAAACAAAUUUAGAAAGACAAAUAUGUCCAAGGGUUAUCAAAGUAUUUGUUUUUCAAGUUCGUCUUUAUAUGAUUCCAAACCUAAACGAGUCUUUAUUAAUUCAUAGAAAAGAGUAGAUGUAAGAUUUCGAAGGUAGUCCCAAAGUGGUUAGCAAAUGAAGAGUUAUUGUAUGUAUCAUUUAUGGAGUUAAAUUUAUUAUUUAUAUAAGAUGAGUGAUUGACAGUACGUACCAUUUAUGAGACUAUCAACAAGUAGUAUAUGAAUUAAGUUGUUUUAUUUACCGUCAAUAAACAAAUGCAAGUUUUAUUUGUAAAAUGAUUUUUGCUAAGGAUGUUUAGUACAACUCAUAUAGUUUAUUUAUAAAUUGACAUUUUACAUUAUAAAAUAUAACGAGUCUGUUCUUUUUUUUUUUAACUCAAUAGAUUUUUUAAAUUAAGAAAACGGGCCAAGCCCAAAUUACAAAGCCCAGAGCCCAGCAACCAAACCAAAAGGCGAUAGACCCAUAAACCAGAAGGCAAACAAACGAACCCAUUAAUCGGGCCGUCAGCCCAAACAUUAAAAACCGAGCGACGUCGGCCGAGUCACGCGUCGAGGAGGCUGGAUGGUGGACACGUGGAAGCAUCUAUACUAUCAGAAAGACACGCGUCGCCUCCGCCUCGACUUGACCGUCCCCGCCACGACUCACCGCCGGAACCACAUCACCUCACCAUCAUUUCGUCGGAGCUCAGAAACCGCAGAGCCUCCGCCGAAACCAUCUCUGUUCUUCAAACCUGUCUACCCGUCGGAGAGCUUCAUCGCUUCUUCGAAAUCUCAUCCGACUAGGCCAACGCUCCACCACUAGAGACAAACAAGAACCAACCACACCAAAUUCGAAACCCAAACACAAGGAACCGCCACGAAAUACUUAAAGCCGGCGACGCAAAGCUGUUGUAGCCCUCACCCUCCGGAAACUAGAGCCGAAACGGCGAAGCUGAAGAAACUUCCACCACCCGGAAACAAGGGCCGGCGGCGACGGAGCUGUGGAAGCCUCCAUUUCCCGGAAUCAAAACCCAAACUACAAUUUUCUUCACCACGCCAUAGCCUCGAAGCAACCGCGUCUUCACUCCAAGAACAGAGACACCACGGGUGGUGUUUCGCCAGAGCUCAGACAAGGCGGACGCCGGAGACGAUGGGGAGAAGACAAAGACCGGACAGUUUAAACUGAAAGACGACGGGUUCCGGCGACGGCACGCGCGCUCACGCGCCGGCCGUACGCCGAAACCAAUCUGAGAUCUACUUUCUCUCACUGCGUUUCUUUCUUUUUAACGAGUCUGUUCUUCUUCUCUCGUUUUUUUGACAAUACAAUUCUGGUUUCUUCGUAUUACUAAUCCCACCUAUUAAAAUAGACGGUUCUAUUUUUAAGUACAAAAAACUUUUGCUUGAUUCGCUACCACUUUUUUAUAAAACAUUCACGCUUUGUUGUAUAUAUUAACAAGCACUCGUGUAGUUGAUGUAUGUCUUCUUUAUAAAUGUAUGUCUUAACCUUUUCGAUGUAUACUAGUCUAAGGUGUGCACUUGAAGGAGCCAUGUUAUCUAAUGUGGCUCAUCAAACUUUAACAGAGUAAAAAGAAUAAUCCCAGACACCCCCCCCUCCCCACCCCCACACACACACAUUCAGUUUUACUUAAUUAACUGGUUCUGUUUUGAGGUUGAACAUAAUAAGUCUGCUAAGUUUGUUUCGUAUCAACAACUUGUUCCGCUCUCUUUACUGUAUUUAGUUCAAGCAGUAAAGUUACUUAGCAGACUUAGCAAAAAAAAAAGUUACUAUUUUGAAGCACGGUUACUUGAACCGGCUAUAAAGCGAAUUUUACGGUACGUUUGAUUUGGACUUUAUGAUUUUCAUGUUUCAACAUUUAAGCUAGACCUAGUUAUUGGGCCGAAGUUCAUAAAACGAAUCAUAAACUAAAAACAAAAACCUAGUAGAGGAAUAUUGUUUGGGUGGGCGCUUAAACCGAUUUUUUAACACCUAAAUCGAUUUUUAAUAAAUAGGUUUUAAAAAACCGAUUUGUUCAUAUCUGAUAUGAAGGCGCUGCCUAAACCAAUUUUUAGAAUAUUGGUUAGUAUAAUCUAAGAAGAUAAGUUAAGUUUUUAUGAUAUGUUAUAUUUAAGGUCAGUUAGCUACAUGAGCCCAAAAGUUUGCCAAAAGAACCCACUAGUAUAUAUUUGCAUAUUCAUUAUUCCACAUGAAUUUUCCUUUCGUAUAAAAAGAAGAAUAUCCAAAUUUUAUAAGUACAGUGAAACAUCUAUAAAUUAAUAAUGUUGGAACUACACCAAAACUAUAAUUUUUUUAUUAAUUUAUAGAAAUAUUAAUUUAUCGAUAUACUAAUUGAACCAAAAACUCAAUAUACGACUAUAAAAUUAUAUUAUUUUAUAGAGUUUUUUAGCGUAUAUUAAUUUAUAGAGUAUUAAUUUAAAGAAGUUAUACUAUAGGUCCAAUAAGUCCCAUGUUGAUCCCUUCAGACAAUGACAACUUGUUAGUUGCUUCCUUAAUUCCAGGUAAGUUACACAUAAAAUGCUAUAACACAAUAGUAGAAGAUAAACAUGGUAAAUCCACAAACAAUUAUGUUUCUCAAGCUGCGAACCUCAACAACGAAAUCUUUAAACUCUUUAUCACAACCGUAGACGGUAGUUUUCAUCUCUUCUAUCUCCUUCUCAAAUUCAACAAUGACGUCAUUCAUCUCUUUUAUCUUCUGCCCGUAGCUGUCCUUUAUAUCAUCAAUCUCUUCCACAACUGCUUCAUCUGUCCACUUAAGCAAAUGGUUUUUUUCCUUUUUUGAUCCAUUUGGACAACAAUGGAAAAGCCUCCCUGGAUUUUCAUAGGUUUUUGAAGUUCUAAUUAAAGAAGCUUCUCCACAUCUACAAGUUUUAGGCAUUCCUCUCUCCCCUUCAUCACCACAGUGUUUCCAUUCUGAACUCAUUCUUGCAUAAAUUUCACAUCAUAUUUCAAUUUGAAGAAGUAAAAAUAACCAUUUGUGAUGGAUUUCAAUUGCAUAAAUAGGCGUAAUCCCUCAAUCGAGCACAUCAUUAAUACAUUUACAUACCUGAAGCUGCAGAGGGAAUGUGAUUCUCUGGGGAAGAUAUUCCAGGCGUCGUGUUUGUCUUCGAGCAAUCAAAAACUCUUAGCGAUGCAGAAGAUUUGUGAAAGGGGACAAAUGAAAAGAAGAUUAUUUAAUUUGUUUUCACAAAAAAAAAACUAACAACAUGGUUUUGAUUACUUUCUCAAAAAAAAACAUGGUUUUGAUAACUACGGUAUAGUUUAUGAACAAAGACACAUGGCUCGGCCGCCAUGUCAUUUUCGGUUAAAAGGAUUGACUCAUAGAAUACGGUCAAAGCAUGUUUGAACAUGUUAGUUUUAGUUUAGAUAUAAAUUUAAAUACAAACCAAACAUGGAUAUGAUUUUGCAUAUGUAGUAUUACAAGACGGAAUCAGGACCACAGUUCCCCUCCCCAAACUUGUCUCCAAGAUUACACUAUUGUUCAUAUAUAAAAACAUAUAUAAUACCUGGUUUGAUCGGUUGCUUGAUUUUGUGUUUGUAUGUGUGAUAUAUAAUAUUUUUAUAGACAACAGAUCACAAUUUGCAAAGUAUAUUAUUAGAUUUUAUUUUAUUGACUUUAAACAGGGCAUGCCUUCCCUUGUAUAAAUUCCGAAUAGCAUGCAUAAUGCAUGCUUGAAUUCUACUAAUAAAUUAUAUGAAAAUUAAUCAAAGGCAUUAAGUGACGCAAAUUUACGAAUAUGAAAAAUGAAUAAAAAUAAUUAAGUGUGUUAAGAUCAUUGGUAUACUAGGUAUUUUGCAGUUUUUGACCCAAAAAAGGGUAUUUUGCAAUUUGAUUGUAAGGUUGUAAUUUGUUGCAUACUUUUUUUUGUAUUAAUUGUCUUCUUUUAGAAAUAGAAGGGAUGCAUGCAUGUUUUUUUUGGCAAAAGGAUGCGUGCAUGCAUGUUUUGAUGUUAAAAGAUGUAUUUGGAUUCAAAUUGUUUGUCCAACCAAGUAAAUACUCUGGAACCCCCAAACUGAUAAUCCAAUAAAUUUUUUUUUUGGUAAAAGAUAAUCCAAUAAAUUAGUCAAGGUAUGCAUAGCUUUUGUCCAUACUAAUAUAUCGCAUACUUAUAUAGUUGGCUUUGGAGUAGUUCUCGUUCAUUGAUUAUAUGGUGAAUCAUUGCUACUUGUGCAAAUUGUCAAACGGCGAUUUUAAUAGAAACUAUCAUGGAACAUUAUGUAAGAUGUGAUACGUUGAUUUUCAAUGGAAGCAAAUCUAUAUAUAUAUAUAUAUACUAUAAUAAAAGGGAUAUAUGAGGAGUAGGGAGGCUGUCCACGUCAGACAAUAAAAUCGACCAAUCAGGAGAUUCGUUUUUGACACGUCACAUCCUCUUUGUCGACAUGGGCCAAAUGUGUUAGCUUUUUCAAAAAAAUGUUUGUGGUCCAUCUGAGACCCUCUCUUUUGUGCGGAAACCCUGGGACUCCACUUAACCAAACUCUGCGUUUUAUGUUUUAGUUGAUUAAGGGUUUCAUUGUUCUCUUUCUUCGACCUUUCAGCCUUGCCGUCUUCGCUGAUUUUAACAUGCAAACCGACGAUUUGUUUUCUUAAGAGAAGAAGGAGCCAGUGCGCCGUAGGAUGGAGCAGACGGUGGCGUGGAUGAGAUGGCGGCUUUGGUGCGUCGUAGGGCACAGCGUAAGGAGAGGAAGUUGAUGACCGUACGGUGGAUUGUUUCCGUCGGAGGAGUAAGGUAGCUGAGGAGGUGGCUGUUGAUUUCCACAACCGUAACAGUAACCUGACAUCGCUGGAAACGAAAAGGUAAACACUUUUCAAAAGAGAUCGAAGAAGAGAAUGAUUUAGCCUUAAAGCUCUGUUUCUUUUAGUUUUUGAUAGACUUUUUUUCUUUCUACAUGACUUAGGAGAAAGAAGCAAAGAAAGAAGCUUUCAAGAAGUAUUUAGAGUUCAGUGGAGUUAUUGAUUCUCUCACCAAAGGUAUUGUUUCUUUUUGUACAUUACACCAUUACUAAAACAUAAUGCAACAGUUUAUGUAUCAAAUAGUUUGAUCGUUUUCUGACAUAAUAAUUUGAUUUAUACUCUUUCGUAUGUUCUGGAACACAAUGUGGGUUUCGAAUGUACUUCUGGUUGUUUUGUAUGAGCAGGAUGACAAGCAGUUCCUGGACACCUUUGUUUCCAACCAAUAUGUACACAGGUGAUCAUAGCUUUUAUGAACUUAAUCCACAUAUGACUUAUGUUCGUAUGAAUAAGAUCUAGGCCUUGCAGCACAGAUAGUUCAUGUGGUAAUUGCUGCAACUUUGUUGAAUUCCCCCGUAAACUUUUAACCGGUCAGGUACUGAUAACUUUCUCUGCUGAUAUACAUCUUCAGCUGUCCGUUUUUAUGAUCGUUAAUGGUUGAUUUCUGCAGGACAUGUCCUACAAAGAUCAGUCAAUACUGUAUGAGCCCAUCAAAGAGCUUGAUAUCAUGUUAAACCAAGUGAGUUAAAACCACCACCUGUGCCUUAUCAAUUCUGUUGAGGAAAUUUCAGACUUUUGUUUUGUUUAUAGACUGUUUUAGUAGAUGCAGGAGUUUCAGUAGAUAUAAUUUCAGGCGUGAAUGAUCCAGUAACUUUGCAUUAUCUCAGCAGGUUUGCAAAUACAUAACAAAAACUAGAAAAAAAAUGUUAGUAUGGACAUAUUAUCUUAAGGCCGUUUUCCUUUUCUACAGCCACCGAUCAGUUGCCUUUUCCCCCGAUCAGCACCUUAUAACACCUUCAGAUCAUGUAGAAAUCUUCACUCAUUUGAUGUGGAUAAUAUCAGGUAUGAUUACUGUACAUGAUGGACACAAUCUCUUAACUGUAGUUCAUUUUUUUAGCUAAACCUGUUGGGUUCUUUUUGACAUUUUCUUGCAGAUUUCUUGGAACUUAUGGUAAGAAAAUCAAUGACCUUCACAAGUACUCAGAAGCUAAAAGCAAGCUUGAUUUUGUCGAAAGAGCACUGAGGUGGAGACAUCUUGCUUCCACUGCACCUAAUACACUCAGUGAGAAUUCACCUCCCCCCUUGCAAAAUAUACAUUUUAAAACUUUUAUUUUUGAGUCUAUUGGUUGGAUUCACUUCUUUGCAGACUGUUAUCCUUUCACUGAUGGAGACUCUUUCGUGAUUGAAACUUGCCCUCAUGUCAUAAAUAUCACAACUGUUUGGUAAAAGGUACAAUCUCCUUCCAUAGAGAUUGAUUAUAUAAUUAUAUAAAUACAUGGUAGAUACUUUUUUUUUGUUUCUUGGGUCAAAUAGUGCUCUAAGUAUGCUGGGUAAUAUAUUAAUGUUGCAGGGUCAGAAGGUCAGCUGGUUAGGUUGAUCUGCAUUCCUAAAUUUUGUGAGAUCGGUAUUGCUGUUGCAGUGAGUUGAAAUUUGAGAAGAUACCAUCCUCAGUGGAAUUCAAUUCUUCUUUUGUAUCUCAAUUAAUCAAAUAUGGUUGUUCUUUGGCAGAAGAACUAAAGGAAUCUGGAGUGUCACACGCGUAGCUUUAACAUUCAGUUAUAAAGUUAAUCACAACACUGGAAAAUGUAGGUCUCUAGGUCAUACCAAAUAGAUAUAUGUUAUGUAUUUUCCAGAGAAAUACUUUUUGAGAUCUUUGGAAGUGUUAUUGUAUUAUUUCAUUACUUUGUAUAUAUAAUUUUAUAAAUUCCAGAGUUUUUUUUAGAAAACCAAACUAUUACAAUUCUAUAUUGUUCGAUGUUCGAAUAAAUUGUUAAAAUUAAACCUGAAUUUCAUAUCUCUUGCCUUACACUAUUUAAUUUAUAUACUAACAACUGCAUAAAUAAAUAUUAACCCAUAAAUCUCAGGUUUUGAACUUGAAACCGCUAAUAACGCUAAUGAUCGAUCAAAUCAUUACGAAGAUAAGAUAUGAAAAUAUCAACACAUGAGUUUACCGGUCAUUUUUAUAUUAACCUAAUCAAGCUGUUUCACUAUCAGUGUUCCAUUUAUCACCACUAUAGACAACCUUAGAGAAAAAAAAUAAAAAAAAAUGACAAUUCCGUACACAAAACUACACAAGGCAUCAAUAACUAAUCCAGAGACACUGCCAGGUCAGCCGUUUGUAAAAACGUAUCAUAUUUAAUUUUCUUUUUUUGUGUGUGUAUAUAUAUGUUUGUGUAAAAAAAUUUGUUGAAAUAAAUUUGAGAUUUAUUUAGCAAUUGCAUGGGUGGUGGCAAUGAUAAGUAACAACUAAAUUUGGUUUGGUCUUUCAAAUUAACUGAACACUAAUUAAUAAGUUAUUUAGUUAGAUAACAACUGAAUACGACAGUUUCUAAGUUUAUGAAAAAAUUAACCCAACAAAUUAGAUUGUAUCCAAUGAUAAAAAAAAAUAUUUUAGAAUGUAUUUACAACCAAUAAGGAGAAAAUAAAAGCCGGUAGUAGAUGAGAAGGACGAUGUCAAGAAAGAAGAGCAUAGGUUCCUCAGUUAGUAAGCAUGACUGAGUGAUCUUAUUUUUUGACAAAGAAGCUUACCCUAUUUCUGAAGGAAAAAAGUCAGGUUUUUGAUAGAAGUUCGAUUUUUUUCUAUGGUUUGGUUUUGCUUAAUUAUGUCAUAUUUUCAUUUAUAUUGUUUUCUCAUGAACUAUGCCCAUGUUUGGAUGACAAUACUCUUUUGUAGUUUUGGUUAUAAUUUGACUUAACUUAUCCCGAAUCAUAAGAUGAUUCAGUUUGGCAUAAAAAUAACAGAUUUAAAUCAUGGGCUAUUUUAAACAGAAACCAUGUUAACUAAUUUCAUUUAUCCUAUUUCUGCUGAGAUUUCAUCAACGCCAUUUCACAAAUUUUCUACAGAUUUUUUUUCUUGGUCACUUAGAAAACAUUUUCAAUAUGUAUAUCAAACUAAGUUUGCCUAGCUGUGAACUUAGUUAGACCAAUGAACUUAAUUUCUCAACUGAAAUAAACGAAGUAAGAAGCCCGUUAAUAUGUUAGUUUGUACUUCCUUUUGAGGACGGAAGACUUAUAAAUGUGAACUCAAUAACUCUAAAACCAUAAGAAUGGUUAAAUCAUUUGUAAAUUUAUCAAUUAUUUAAUAUAAAAAUAAUCAAAAUAAAAUAGAUUUCUGAACAUUACUAAAGUUUAAUAACUGCCGGUCCAUUUUUCUGACCAUUCUAUAUACAAUUUCCUAAAAAAUACACAACAAAUUGUGAAUUUAACCAUUUUGAAUUUAUUGAAAAACAAUGAAUACAUAAAAUAAAUUUAAAAUUUCCAAAUAAUUUUAGAUUUUUCUAUUAUUUUGUAAUUUAUAAUUGAUUCUAAUGUACAUUUACAAAUACAAAUGUUAAGUUAUAAAUUCUAAAGCUAUAAAAAACAAAUCCGGGCGUAGCCCGGAACAGUUCCUAGUAAAAAUUAAUGAUUACUAGGGGGGUUCUGAUAUGUAAAUAUCGGUAUCAGAUUGUUUAAGUUUUAAAAUGCUUCGUGAAAGCAUUAAUUAGUUUUUUUCAUGCGAUGAUUAAAUUGGUAUUGAAGAUUUAAGUUUAACCAUGAAAUGCUACAUUUUCAUUGCAUCAGAAAAAAAUUAAACAUGGAAAUUGAACAAUAGCAAAUUUAGUAGAAUAUUUUUCUUAGUAUAGGAAGUAUAUAUAUAAUUUGUUUUCUAAAAUUCUGUAUACUAAUUUUCGAUUAAAUAAUCAGCAAACUGUUUAGCCUUUUUUUUUAAACAGAUCUCCAGGAAGUAAUUUACUUAGGGCCAUGGGAUACGUAACAAAACUUAAUAAUAGAAAAGAGACUUAUAUAAAACUAACCUAUACUUCGUAUAUUCCCCCUCUUUGACUCCUAAUUCACCAAUGGAGAGUUCCCCGAUAUAAACGGUUCUAAAUUUUGAAUAAACUAUAUAUAGAACACACAACUAUCCAUAAAGUCUAAGCAUGCACCAUCGUCUCCAAUCUUUCUUCUUCUUCUUCUUUUAGACGUCUUCGUAAUCAGAGAACCCUAAUCUUUUCUUCUUGAUUUCUUCAAAUGCAUCACAAGGCUUCAAGCAGAGACACCAACAGCCAGAACUUUCCAAAACUCAAGAGUGUAGAAACUGAUCCAGAUCCUGACAUUUAUGACAUAACAUACGUCGAUGUCUCUCCCUCUGUCGGCUCCACUUCUCCUUUAUCCAAGUCCCCAUGGAUCGCACACGUCGAUCCCACCGACCUGGAACCGCCCCAUUCGGGGAUAAAGUCCACAGCCAACACAAGAGAACCUAAAAACUACUCACCUAACAUCCUCAUGGGCUCUCUCUUCCGCGAAGAAGGCCAUAUAUAUUCUCUAGCCACAUCUGGCGACCUACUCUACACGGGAUCUGACUCCAAGAACAUUAGGGUUUGGAAAAACCAAACCGAGUUCUCGAGUUUUAAAUCCAACAGCGGUUUGGUCAAAGCCAUUGUCCUAGCUGGAGACAAGAUCUUCACCGGACACCAAGACGGGAAGAUCCGCGUGUGGAAAGUCUCGUCCAAAGACUCCAACAUCUUUCGACGUAUAGGAACCAUGCCGGUUUUUCGAGACUACCUAAGAAACUCCAUCACGCCUUCUUCGUACUUCAGCUUCAUGAGAAAGAACCCGACCAGCACCAGCGCUCAGGGGUUCCGCCACGUGGACGCGAUCUCGUGCCUCACGUUGAGCGAAGACAACAAGCUUUUGUACUCCGGGUCGUGGGACCAGACGUUUAAAGUGUGGAGGAUCUCGGACCUCAGAUGCUUGGAGUCGGUGAAGGCCCACGACGACGCCGUAAACGCCGUCGUUUCCGGUUUCGACGGUUUGGUUUUCUCCGGUUCGGCGGACGGUACGGUUAAGGUGUGGAGGAGAGAGGACCAAGCUAAGGAGACGAAACAUUUCUUCUCCGAGACGCUGCUGAAACAAGACUGCGCCGUUACGGCGAUCGCGGUUGAUCAGAGCGCGACGUUAGUUUACUGCGGUUCGUCUGACGGAACCGUUAACUUCUGGGAGCGGGAUAAUAACAUGAAAAACGGCGGCGUUUUGAAGGGGCAUAAGCUCGCGGUGCUCUGCCUCGUGGCUGCGGGGAGCUUGUUGUUCAGUGGCUCGGCUGAUCUCGGGAUUCGCGUUUGGAGGAGACCGGAACGUGGUGACGGCAGAGGCGGAGACGUUGGAGGAGGAGGAGGAGAGCACGUGUGUAUUGCGGUGUUGAAGGGACAUGCAGGUCCGGUGAAGUGUAUGGCAGUGGAGAGAGAUCAAGAAUCGGCUUCGGGUGAGAAACGGUGGAUCGUGUACAGUGGGAGUUUAGAUAGGUCGGUGAAGAUGUGGCGUGUGUCGGAGAGUUCGCCGCCUAUUGAAGACCAGUCAUCGGAUCCGUUUGAUGGUCCGACUGAAUUAACGAUGGCUCCUAGCUUCUCGGGUAAAGGGAGAGAAUGAAACCAACCCCAAACACUAGUUUUGUUUCGUUUUGUAUGUGUAACGAUUUACAUUUUUUUUUCUUUUUAAUUUGGUAAAAUAUGUUCGUUAAUUAUUUCUUUUUUUUUUAAUAUGGUAAAAUGUUUUCGUUAAUUAUUUUUUCUUUCUUGUUAACAUCAUCUCAUCUACUUGAUCGAGUGUUAGGCAUAUAUCAUAAAGUUAAGGGGAUAAUACAAGUUCUUGUAAGGAUUUCAUUUCUAUUACCUUUCCUAGGUCUCGGCAUUAAUUUAGGUUCAGUUUAGGUCUUUCGAGUUUUCAGAUUUCUAGAUUCAUUCUCAUAGACAAUAUUCACAUUAUAUGAAUUGGUUUGGUUAAUAAAGAUUUUGGUUCAUAUGUAGAUUAUAACUCAGUGCAAAAUUAAGUUUGUGAAUUUUUUUCCUCAAUUUAAUUUGCCUUUAAGAGCAUGUUUAUAUCCUCCAAUCUGACGGCAGUUGAGUUAGAAAAACUGCUCCACUUAAUUCGUCAGCUCAAUUAUAAGCCCAGCUACUGAUCUCCUAUAAAACCACACACGAUAUAGGUCGGUGUUUUUCCAAUUAGGAUUUAAAAGAACAAAAUAAAUUCGUGAUAAUAUAAAAUCAAGAUAAAUAGAGCUAAAUAGUAUUUGAAUUUGUAACUUUGUAAACCAUAAACCACCGCAAUGUUAGUGUCCCUAUGGCAAUCGUGUCUAGAGCUAAUAGUCCUCCUAAUGGCAUUGGUUUCAAACCAUCCCGUGGCAAUCCAACCGGCCGGUUUACCAAUGGCCGUACUAUAGCUGAUAUCGUUGGUAAGUUAAUAGAAACAUUCAUACAAAAUAUAAACUGAUAUUUCAUUUUUGUAAUGAUUAUACUAACAUUUAUUUUAAUGCUGUUUUGUUGUUUAUAGGAGAAAAGCUAGGGCAACCAAAUUAUGCAGUUCCAUAUCUAGCACCAAACGCAAGUGGUGAUGUAUUACUAAAUGGUGUGAAUUGCGCAUUAUGUAGUGGUGGAAUUCACAGUGCUGCUGGAAGUGUAUUUGUAAGUCAUGUUCGUUUAUCUGCAGCAUACUAUAUGUCAUGUUCGUUUGGUUGGCCGAGAAGUUCAUGUUAUAAUGAGAAAGUAAAUUAUUUUUAUAAAUAUGUGUGAAAGCAUGUUUUCAGCUCAAAUGAUUUAUUCGACUGUGUAACAAAUAUAUUCGUAGUCCAUGGACCUUCUAAAACAUCCAGCAUUAACACUUGACUACUGGGCUCAUUUAGCUAAAAAACGGAAAUACGUGUAAUAUUAUUCUUUGCAACUUCACAUUAUCGUCAUUCAUCAUACUAAGAACAACAUUAUUGGAAUUUCUUGCUACUGAGGGUCCGAAUGGUAACCGCGGAAUUGGUAAUAUUAGCAAGACGGAAUUUAAGUGCGGUACGGUCCAAGUGUGGUUCGUGCGGUUUGUGGGACUAGUGCGGAUUUGACAAAAUUAGUGGUGCGGAAUUGUAUUGAUUGGUGAACAUAUAUAGUUUGCGGAAUUGAACAAUUAAAAAAAUAGUGUUAAACAAAAAUAUCAAUGAAAUCAAUAUAAUUUAUGUUUUCUUUUAUUAACUAGAAAAUUAAUUAAUAAGUAUAAAUCUAGCUAUAUAUAAUAAAAAAAUGAAUAUUACGAUAUUUAUUUAUUUUUACAAUUAAAAUUUUAAAUUUUAUGAGUAUACCAAAAUAAGAAUAACAUAUGAGAGCUAAAAAGAUUUUUUACAUUCUUUCUUAAGAAAAUAAUUUUAUAGUUAUACAUACAUAUACAUUUCUUUAGUUAAUUUAAAGUUAAGACUAAAAUUUAAAAUUCGGUUGAGCCGGUUGGACCGGCCGACCAUUGAUCCAUUUAUAGUGGUGAAUUCAAUUUUCGAAAUAUUGUAUAGAUGUUUUAUAAAUCUUUAUAAAUAGUUUAUAAGGAUUAAUUAGUCUUUUAUCACAAACUGGUUUAGUGCUAACGUGUAAAUACAUUAAAAUAACUAAUUUAUUUAAUAGUAAUCCACUAAAAAUUAUAACUACAUCAAAAAGUUGUUACGUGUUUUAGUGCUAGCAUAGUACUACUAUGCAAGAAAGUUGUCUUGAUUUAUUAGUCUUAUAUACAAAUAAAAUUUGUUAGUAAAAGAGAAUAAUUUGUCUUUCAAAAUGCACAGUCCAUUAAAAAGUACAGUCCAUUACACCAAAAAAUGCACAGUUCAUUUAAAAAAAAAUUCCAUAACAUAUUUAUAGUAUUAUCUUUUACUGUGUCAUAUGCAUAUUUUAAAAAUAUAUAUUACAAAAUAAAGUAAAUAUAAUUACUGUUGCAAAGUAUAUUUAAAAUGCACUGUCCAUUAAAAAGUAACAAAAAUGAACAGUUACAAUUAAAAACACAGUGCUAAUUGUUACAAAGUAAAUUAAAAAUGCACAGUCCAUCACGUAACAAUAACAUACAUAUUUACUCUAUUUUUAUUUAAAUUGAAAGUAACAUUUUAAGGGUUUGUGUUCAAACAAAAAAAAUGAAUAAAAAUAACUAAAACUUGAAAAACGCCUUUGAACCGCAUGAAAAUUGGAGAUAUGAGAAAACAGGUGCGGUAUUGACGAAACUUGAACAAACAAAAAAAUUGUUUGAAGAGUGCGUUAUUUAACAAAUACGCACCGCUAAUUGGUUUUCACUGUGAUUGGUGACAUUUUUAAAAACCUGUCAAAUCGAAAGAAAAACGUCCCGCACUAGUGUUUCCAUUCGUAACCUAAGUUCUUAAAAUACAUGUAUGUGUAUAUAUAUAUUAUAUAUGCGUAUGUAAUUGCGGAGUUCUAAACUUUACGGAAAACCCAACCGAAAGAUUCUUAUUUAAAAAACUUUCGGUUGGAUUUCCCUUCUAAGCUUUACGGGAAAUCCAACCGAAAGAUUCUUAUUUAAGAAAUUUUCGGUUGGAUUUCUCGUAAAGUUUAGAACUCUACAAUUAUACACCCAUAUAUAAUACAUACAUACAUAUAUAUAUAUUUUAAGAACCCAUGAUCAAGAAAUCCCAAUAAUGUUGCUCUAAUGUUUUAGGACUUCCUAUCAGAAUUCUACUAAUAUCUAACAAAUUAGAAAAUGUGAUUUUAUCAGUUUUUAUUGAUUAUUGAAAAUUGAUAAAUAGGGUUUAGGACGGCGAGGGAGGCGUGCUGUGUGACGGGAGGGAUAUUGCCAUGUGGACCAACCUAUAGCCUUUGUACGGACCGGUCAAACCAUGUGUUUUGGGACGCGUACCAUCCCAGGCCCAGCGAAGCUGCUAAUCUCCUCAUUGCUGACAAAUUCGUUACUCUUUUAAUCUUCUCGACCCUCGGGACCUUUGAGAAUCUUUAUGUAUAUUUCCCUUAUCGAAAAAUUGUUAUUUCUAAUAUGACUGUGAUAUUCUUUAUUUGUUUUGUUUUCUGUUAGCUAUGGUUAUAUAUUACCGCUGAAAACAUAAUAUUAGUUUUGUUUUGUAUGACAAAAAACAUAAUAUUGUUCCUAUUAGAAGAAUGAAUCGACAUUGAGCAACUCAUGUUUAUGGAAGUAAUAAAGAACAAAAAAUUCCGAAAAGCAAAAAAAGGGAAUAAUCAGUUAUAUGUUGUUUAUAAGAAAUACUAUUUGGCCAACUGAAGUAAGAAAAAGAUUGGACCGUUGGGCUCCAACGAUCGCAGAUAAACAUGUUGUGAUCAAGAAAAAGACGAAACUGAGCCUCUUUGAUGCACAUGCAAAAGACAAAAACGCCCUAAUAGAGAGGUUGUUAAGAAACGGAAUGGGAGAACAGAGAGGAUUGAGGAAGAAAAAGACAAGAAGAAAAGAGAGGAAUAAGGGAGAGGGUGUCAGUAGUAUGAUCUGAAAGGACUGGCCGGACCCAAUGACCGACAAUGAAAGGACGGGUGUAAUGCAAAUCGUCCCAGAUGGCGCACCACAACAUACAAACCACACUUCUCUGCUCUAUCCACUGUUUUGGGUGUGAAAGCGACUAGAGAGAGAGAGAGAGAAGUCGUUGAAAUCGAUGGUGGUUCAUGUGUGGGUCAUAUCAUCUUCCCCCGGCUGCGCGUGCUUAUCUACCUCCUUCGACCCUCCCCGACAGCUUCACUUUUGUCUGUUUGACCGUCUCUCCCUCUGCUAAAUAUAUGUAUAUAAGUUUGUUUGUAACUCAUUUUUCACUUAUAUACAAAUGGACCAGACCAGUAUGGAAACUUAAACGUCUGAUUAGUUAUUUGUCUUAGUCACAUCCUAUGUUUGGUAGAGUAUUUUCUUGACGUGCACCUGCAAAGUCGUUAUGUUUUUGUUGUUGUUGUUGUUUCAUUUCGUAUAAUAAGUUGCUUGCAAAAAAAAAAAAAAGUCGUUAUGUUUUUUAAAAAUAAUUCGAGGAAUCUUAUAAUAAUAAUUUAAGAGAAAAAAAGACAAGAAGUGAACGAUAAAUACAGAGAGAGACAGAAUGAUGGGAGGGGUUGGGACAAGGCGUGAAGAACUGUUACUACACUUUUCCCUCUGAUUGCGGCUUCCGAAUCCGAUUCCCUCCAUCACAGUUUUCUUAUAAUAUUUUCAUUAUUAGCUGAAAAUAUAAAUGGUGAAAUAUUACUAUAAAAUAUACCUACAAAUUUGAAUUUGGAUGAUAUUAUUCCAUUUAUUAUACUGUAUAAUAUAUGAACAUAUUCGUUUAUAUGUCACGAGUGAUCGCCAUAUACUGUAUAAUAUAUAGUGAUUAAUCACAAUGACUAAUUACAUAAUCUUAAAACAUUUAAACAAACAAUAUUUGGUCACAAGUCAUAAUCGUAAAAGCACACAAACAAACAAGACUACGGAGAAAUGCAUUUCCAUAUUUGCUUGUUUGCUAUACUACUGCUAUUAUUUUGUAUAAAAUGCUAUGUUUGUUUUCGUACCAUCUAGUGUGUAUUUUUUGGAUAUAAGUUUCCUUUUUAUCUCAUGUUUUAACUUUAAAUCACAAAACCCAAAUAGUUACUGAAUGGAAUCAAAUAAUUGAUUAAUCAAAUAAAACAGAUUGGAUCAGAGAUACUUUCAAAAAUCCAAAUAUUUAGUUCGGAUUAAUGUGAUUCUCUUGACCAAAUCAAACUCCAAUAUACAAAUUGUUUUAAUCGUCUUAUGUCGACUAACAUAUAUUAUGAUCCGUCUGUCAAAUUCAAAGAAACAAAACCAUAAUCUACGACGUGAAUUUAAUUGGUUAGAAAUGAUAAUACGUUAGUGUUUUACUGAAGAAUCACAAAAGCAGGGUCCAUCGUAAUUACCAUUCUAAUUAGAAAUCCAGCACUAUGUAAAAAUUUUAAUUAAAUAAGCGACUGUCAUCCGUCUUUAUUCCAGACUAUGAAAUUUAUUGCAGAUUACAUGAAAUCCAGUUAUGUAGUAUUGUCGGUUGUUGAAUCGUCUAUGUAAUCUUUUCUAUAUCAUAAUUGUAAGAUUGUAAUAAAUCAGCGUUAAAAAAAAUAAGUAUUUUCAAAAAGAACAAUCUCCAAAUAAACAAACAAAGAUUUAAAUCUUUAAUUUCAAAAGCUGCGUGAUCCCACGAAGAGCAAUUAUAAUUUAAUUAGUGUCAAACAAAGUAAUAUAACAAAUCCAAUAGUCCAUUUUCAAGUUUAAAUCUGACGAAAACGAUCGAAAGUGUUCAUUGUUUCAAACUUUGUUGAACAUGCAUUUGAUUUUCUUGGAAUGAUUUCUAAUAGUAUAUAAAAAAAUAUAUCAAAUAUAACCAUUACAUAAUUACACAUGUAUAUAAUAUGAACGUGUCACCAAUUACAAAGACUAUAAGAUUAAUUUGAUAUAUAUAAACAUGUGUUAUGUAACUAACUUUAUAGUUAAAUAUUAUUAUUGUUGAAAAUGGAUCAAUCGUCACAAUAUAACAACUAAUGUUAAAAACUGAUUCAAUCUAAUUUAACCAAAUUCGAUCUAAUUUAAUUGAUAGUUUUUAAUUGGUUUAGAUCAUUUACAGUCAGUUUUUUACUUAGAGCAUGUUGGUUUUUAAUAUAUUAACUUGUCGAAUUCCGAGUUCACUUUUCCAACAACAGACAUAUAGUUAUAUUGUUAAUUAAUAUAUGUUAUUAUUUUAGGCAUAUAUACGUAUAUAUACAUAUUAAUUAAUAAAUUGUGUUUUUAAUUUUAAUAUAUGUUUAUUAUUUUGAUUUUAUAGUUUGCACUUUGCAAUGAAGAACACAUUAAUGUUUUCCAAUUUGUGACAAUUUGAUAGUGUGUAAUUGAUAUAAUUCACAAUUAUUUUAUUUUUAAAAUAUCCAAAUUUACUAUAUUCCUUUGUUAUUAGCUUACAUUAAAUCAAUCACUUGAAUAAAUAUAAUCUGAUAAUGAUAUAUUAAAAAUCGGUUAUAAAAAAUGAUAUAUUAAAAAUACAGUAUUUUUUUAUUCUAAACAAUUGGAUAUAUCAAAAUAAAUUAUCGAAAAAUUAAGUUACUUUGUGCAUCAGAAACUUAUUAUCAUAUUUGAGCAUGAAACUUAAAAAAUCUUGUAGAAUUAAUGGGAAGGGGGCGUACAUUGAUAAACACAACAGCCUCCUCCUACCUGUGUGUUGCCCACUGCGACCUAGACCUCUCUCUCUACGCAUAAUCUCUGUAUUAUUUUAUUCCACAUGCAUUUGUUUUCCACAAGAGACGUAAUAUGUCACUAUUACUAGUUUUGACUCUUGUUUACUAAUUGAACUUAAAGACAAUGCCAUGACUCCAUGACGAAACUUUCACAUUAUUAAACAAAUAAGUACAAUAAUUGUCUUUUUGUCAAAAAUUCUUUAUAAGGUUGGUAAAGAUAGUACUAAAAUAUGUAUCAUGAUGUUUUCCCGGUAAUAUAGGUAUCAAGGAUUUAGUAAUUUUAGAACCACUACUGUGAAUGAUCACCUCGUUGAAGUUUUUGAAAAAUAGUUUACGUUUUAAACUCAUUUCAUAUAACCUCAACCUCAAGAAUAUUCAACUAAACGUUAGUUGUGCCAUAUAUAUACUUUUCACAUAAUCAAUAGUACUAUUUUUGUAGUCAAAUAUUGCGAGAUAUAUUUUCUUUUCUUUUCUUUUUUUUUUGCUAAAUUAGAGAUAUAUUUUCAUGACGGCCUUUAUGUGCAAAUUUAUAUGCUCCUUUUUUUGAACUUGAAUUUAUUAUGCUCCUUGGAAAACGUAUAUAUCAAGUUAACUCGAAUAUCAUUUUUUUAAAAUAAAAAAUACAAUAUAAGAUAAAAAUGUAAAAAACUCUUAAAGAAAACUUAAAAAAAAUAUUUAUGAAAAUUCCAUGACAAACUUACCGUUCAUUUUAAAAAAUUAAACUUAGUUUUAUAACUACAUUAUAUCAAAAAAUUGAUUUAGAAUAUCAUUAAAAGUUUCCAUGGAUAAAACAAUAGCUUACAUCAAACAAUUAGUUUACAAUUCAAUAAACAUCCAAUAUUCACACUGCAAACAAAGUGAGUUUGUAAGAAAAUUAUAAUAAUUUAAAAUCUGAGAUUUCGUUUUACCUAAGGGCAUCUCCAACCCUAUUCCAUUUUUGACUCCAAACUCAAUUAUGGAGUAAAAUCUUUUCUAACCCCACUCCAUAUUCAACUCCAAAAUGGAGUAAUAGCUAGGGUUACUCCAUUUAUGGAGUAAUCUUACUCAUUACUCCAUUUUGGAAAUGGAGUAACCCUAGCUAUUACUCCAUUUUGGAGUUGAACUUUUUAUAUUUAUGAAAUGGUCCUUUUGAUUUUUAAUGUUUUUAAUUCAUACUUAAAAUAACAUAAUAACAUAAAAAAAUAUAAUACUCCACAAAAGAUUACUACUUUAUAGUUUACAGAAAAUAUGCAUAAACUCAUAAAAGUCAAAACUAAGAAUAAAAAAUAUAAAAUAAAUAUAAUAUAAUAUAAAUAAGUAAUUUAAUAAUUAAUUCGGUAAAUUGUUUUCGAAACUACCAAAAGCGGUGAAGUAUUAUUCAAACGGAAUAUAUGAGUUUUUUAAUUUUGUGGGUCAAAAUUUUGAUUGAUAACAUUUGUACUUGUUGAACUUGAUAUAUGCACAAACAAACAAUAGGAUCCAAUACAUAAUUCAAAUUACAAAAAAAAAACUUUAUUUUUUUUUAUGUUUUUUUGAUGCAUAAAAAUAUUUUUGAAUUAGAAAAAUUGCAUAUGAUAAAAUUUGCACGAAUUGAAAUUGGAAGAUAAUCUCUAGUUGUAUUUUUAAUGAUAAAUAUUUAAUUUAAAUAAAAUAUAUUAUUAUAGAAAUUUUGUAAACAUAAAAUAGUUGGGUUAAUUGUUAAUUUUUUAUAAGUUGAAGGUACUAAUAAUAAUUAUAUACUAAAUGAAAAAAGAACCCUUUUGUUUGGAGUAAAAAAUAGAGUAAUACAUUGGAGUAAAAUCCAACUUCAUUUUGGAGUUACACCAUUUUGAAGUAAAAUUUGGAGUAAUACAUUGGAGAUGCUCUAAGAUAGAAUAACGAAUAAAUGUUUCAUGUGUUCAAACAGAAAGCCUUGAAAGAAGAGCCGCCUACGUAUGAAGUGAGCCGACUAGUAGUGUUAAGGGAGCAAACAGAGCCAACACUGUUCACAAUAAUCCAUAGCCGAUUCAACGAUUCCAAAAGAGACAAACUUUUAAGACAAGAGAGAGAGAAAAGUCUUUCUUCUCCAUCACCAUCUCUAUCUGCGCAUGUUUCCUCCAUAAAAACCAAAACAAACCUCCCCAAAAGCUCCAACCUUUAACCCAAAAGCUCCAAUCUUUCUUCUUUCCCGCGUCUUCUUUGAUGACGACGUCUGACUCCGGCGAAUCACGACGCACGGCGAUGAGGCCUCACGGCGGAAUAACGGGGCUUCCACCGGCCACGGAGCAGCAAGAGCAGCUCCCGUGUCCUCGCUGCGACUCAACCAACACCAAGUUCUGUUACUACAACAACUACAACUUCUCCCAGCCUCGCCACUUCUGCAAAUCCUGCCGCCGUUACUGGACUCACGGCGGAACUCUUCGCGACAUUCCCGUCGGCGGCGGCACUCGCAAAGCCGCGAAACGCUCCCGCACUUGCUCCUCCUCCGCCGGAGUCCUCAACGCUCCGUUGCAAGCGACGCCUGUUCUCUUCCCUCAAACGUCGCUCUCUAACGACGUUUGCCACGCCGUUACCGAGAACGACGGAAAGGGAAGUUCUUUGUCUCUCUGCGGCAGUUUCACGUCUCUCCUGAACCAAAACGCCAACGCAGCGAGUGCCACGACGCAUGGAACAGGCGGGUUUGGAAGCGGACUCGGGUCGGGUUAUGAUGACGUCAGCUUUGGACUCGGAAGAGCGGCUUGGCCGUUUUCGACCGUGGGCGACGCUGCAACGACGAAUGUGGGGAGUAACGGUGGUCAUCACGCGGUUCAGAUACCCGCCACGUGGCAGUUCGAGGGUUUAGAGAGCAGCAACGCCGGUGGGUUCGUUCCCGGUGAGUACUUUGCGUGGCCGGACCUCUCCAUCACAACACCAGUGAGCUCACUCAAAUGAAUGCAAAGCUUCUGUCUUUACUAGAGGGUUUCUAUUGCUUUGGCUUUGUCUGAUCUCUUAGUCUUAGUGUGUCUGGUCGUUUUAGAACUUGUGUAAUGAAACUAGAAAACAGAGCAAGUUUGUGUUUUUCUUUGUCUCUAAGAUCUUUACCUUGUUGCUUUGGACUCUGUUUUAUAAUUGCAAUGAUGAUACUUGUUUUUGGAACAACUCUUAAUGGGAACAGUUAGGUCUUGUAAGGAAUUGAUCUUGUUCAAUGGAUGGUGAUGAUGAUCUACACAACAUAUUACUCUUUAACCUAUGUAAUUCAUCUUGCACUUGUAUUACUUCUGUGUUAGACUGAUCCCCAGAGGAGAAAACUUGAGUACCGUUGUUGUUCACUUCAAUCCAGCUCAAUCCUGGAUCUUUAGCAGAAGCUAAUCCUCUAAUCUUCCUUCUCAUCUCUGCAACAUCCUCCCAUCUUCCUUUCACCGCAUAAAGAUUCGACAGUAGUAUGUAUGUUGCAGUGUCUUCUGGAUCAAGUCUCAGGAUCUGCUCAGCCGCGUAUAGCCCCAUCUGCAAGUUUCUUGUGUUGACACAUGCGCUUAACAGAGUUCUCCAGAGCUCUGUUUGGUUAUUUCCAGGAAGAGACUCUUGUAUCAGUUCCAGUGCUUCGUCUACUAACCCAGCUUUAGAUACCAAAUUCACCAUGCAAGAAUAGUGCUUAAAUCCGGCUUUGAUGCCUCUCUCCUUCAUUUGGUUCCACAGGAACUUACCUUGCCGAGUUGAUCCGCUGUGGCUGCAGGCUACUAGUAAAGACAAGUACGUUACUGCAUCAGGGGUGAGACCGUUUUGUAGGAUCUGUUCAAAGAAACUCAGAGCCUUUUCUAACAUUCCAUGUUGACUAUAAGCUCCUAGCAUUGAGUUCCAACAUUUCAAAUCCGGAUUUGAAACAAGAGAGAAUACUGAUUCUGCAGCACUGUAUUUUCCGGUUUUCCCAUACAUGUCUACUAAGGCUCCACAUACCGACAUCACACUAUCGAAUCCUGUCUUCACGGUAAGAGAAUGGAACACUUCACCUUGUCUUAGCAAUGCCAUAUCUGAACACGCUCCCAAGACACUGCUCAGGGAAAAACCAUCAGUUCUAUUUUUCUCUCUGUACAUUUCAACGAAGAGUUGGACAGCACACUCGCUGUUUCCUACUCUCGAUUGUCCAACGAUCAUCUCAGUCCACAGAACAAUAUCCCUCUCUCUAAUCACGUCAAACACCUUCUGAGCAGCUUCAGCUUCCCCGUUCUUGAAGUACAUGGACAGGAGCGUUGUCCCAACAAAAACACUCCUUUCAUAUCCCAAUUUCAUUACCUGUCCAUGGAAAAGCUUUCCAUGGACGAACCUCUCUGUUUCCCCUGUCGCACAUAUAACAGCAGAGAGAGUAUAUUCAUCUGGCCUCGGUGUGGACCUCCUCCGUAACCUUCCAUACAUAAGAAUCGCUUCCUCUCCAAAUCCAUUCUCUGAACAACCCGAGAUAAUCGAGUUCCAUGCAAUCAAAUUUGGGUUAUGAAUCCUCUCAAACACAAAGAGCGCUUCUUUCACAUCCCCACAACUGCAAUACAUAUCUAGAAGUGCGUUCUCCACAACUGAAUCAGCUAAACCAUCCGAGACUAUUAUCCGGGCAUGGAUUACUUUCCCCAGUGAAUAGCUUCCCAACUUACUACAAGCACUCAGCACCAUCGAAUACGUGAACUGCGUUGGAACAACACCAGACAUCAACAUGGUUCUAAACAGCGCAAGUCCUUCUUCUACCUCAUCAUUUCUCAAACUCCCAGAUAUCAUCGUGUUCCAAACCACCGCAUCUCCACCUUCUACACACUCAAAGACCCUCCUUGCGGAUUCUAACUCAUUACAACUAGAGUACAUCCCCAAAACCGAUGUCUGGACAACCACAUUGUCUAAAAAUCCAACCUUUAUGAUCUGAGAAUGUAGCAAAGAUCCCAUCAAAACAUCCUCGAGCAAAGCGCAGACCUGCACUAAGCUAGUGAAAGUCGAGCUAUUGGGCUUCAAGGACUCAGACGCCAUACGGGUUACCAGACCAAAAGCGUAACUUGCGUGGCUUUGGUUCCGGGAAUACGCUGAACAAAGCGCGUUGUAAGAAACCACGUUUCUCUGAGGCAUUGUGUCGAACAGCUUCCGCGCUUGUUCUAGAGAGCCGCACCUCACGUACAUCGAGAUGAGGUUGUUGCUUGCGUACGGAGAGUCGUGAGCUGCGCCCCCGGUGAGGACGAGUGCGUGGAGCUGACGCGCCCGUUUUAGUGCGGUGGUCGAAACGCAUCUCCGUGUAAGCUCGACGACGGAAGAAGCUAGUUCGUUAAGUGGCAUAGAAGCUACGUAACGUAAUGGGACUCUAAACGCCGCGUUUUAAUAUAGCUAGAGAGCUUCUUUAUAUUAAAACGCCGCGUUUUAAUUUUGUUUCAAUCUUUAAUGUCUGUCACUCACGCGCCUCUGUUUUUCUAUUGCGAGCUAGCUGCAUUAUGAUCAUCAUCAAGUCCUGCUUGAUUACCCUUUUUAUUUAAGGACAUCGGUGCUGGCUGUGCUGAGGUUAAUCCUUACCUCUUUAAGUUAUUUGAGUAUCAAUACUGUAUAUGAUUUUUUAUUUUGUUUAAUGUGAGAUCAGCCAUUUCUAGCUCUUGUACUCUAGUCUUUUUAAGUGUUUGUCUAGAGUUUCCAAAAUUCCCUAAUGCAUUUGAUUGACUCCUGCUUAACAUCCACUGUAUAUCCUGGUAGAUGCUUCAUCUUUAAAGAGAACAUUUGUCUUGCUGGAGACCUGUAUGGUUGAACAAAAGUGGAAGUUAUGUUCCCAUGCUUUUGAAGAUGCUAAAGACUGUCUUAUUUCAUUGGGUCGGGUAUGAAAACACUGGAAGAAACUCAUUCCAUACAACCCAUAAGAUCUUCUAUGACGGUUUGCUUACUGUAAACUCACCUAUUCAUUUAAUCACCUAACUGAAACUUCUCUUAUACUGAGGGAGGUUAACGUUUCAAGAACUCUGUCUAAUCCAAAGAGUAAUUAGGAAGUCAUGUUCAACAAUGUUAGCUGCUACGAGAAGUAUUUAUCUUAAUCUCUCAGUUGAGAUUCUCUGAGAUAGAAGGAUCAGAUGCCAAGGCAGUCUCCUUUCCAGAUCAAAUUUCAAACUUAUUGUCAUAUGUAGAAUUCUGUAAGUUCGAGAAUCUCAUGUCUAAUCAAAUUUUCUUGGGUUCUGACACAAGUGAGUUCUGUUUCUGUAUAGAGAUACUACAUUCUUGGCUGGUGCAGGAGCUAUACCAAUCAGAGAGCAUUAUGUUCUUGUCUCCACAAUCCAAACCCGAACGGUAUAAGAUACUCUUGUUUUAAACCAAUGUGGAACUGCCUCAUCCAAAUACAGCAAGCAAUGUAACCCAUAAUAUCAAGAAUCACAAGGGCUCUUAUUCAUAUCAUAAAUAUAACAAAGCGUUAGAGAUACACACUCCAGAGGGGAUAGCUUUAAAAUUUCAGGAUACUCAAACUCAAUACAAAGUUACACUUUUAUCAGUUGUAUUUUGCUGCUAUUUCCUGUAACAGUAGAGAAAGCUGUUGAGGCUUGGUGAUCAUAGCCAUGUGACCAGCUUCUUCGACCACUUUCACUUCAUUAGGUUCGUAGUUACUAAUCAUCCACCUCUGAAUCUCCUCUGGAACCACAUUGUCACCUUCGCAGACGAUAAACACUCUCUUCAUAGAUCCAUACCUCUCCUUGGUCAGCAAAUCUUUACCUUCCAUUUCCUUUGGGUAUAACCUGCUCGGUUUCACCAACGUCAUGGCUAGUUCUAGAUCCUGACAAUCAAAAUAUAUUAGUAUAUUACCAACAUUAGUCACCUAAUCUUGGUUUGUAAAACUGAUUAUGCCAUAAGCAAGUCCAGGCAGUCUUAGUCCCCAAAUUUUUAAAAGUUAAUAUAUAUUUGAUUUGAUGGUCCUUAAAUUAUAAUAAUUCUUUAUUAAGAUUUAUACUAUUAUAAUCCCAAAAAAAAACUCAGCCUCUGGUCAUAGAUGGAUGUAAUGAAUGUAAAACUGACCUCUGACUGGCAGUUACUAUAUGCCUUCUCCUUCAUGAAGCUAUUACCGAACAUAACUGAACUUGGCGGCUGUCCUGGUCCUUCCUCAAAUGUAAACUCACAAUCCAUGGCGAAUCCAUCAGGGAGACGUUUGAAAUACUACAGACAAACAGAAAGUGACAUACAAUUAUCAGAUAAGAUAUAUCCUCAAGAGUGGUCCCAAUAACUUUAUUUUAUUUUUCUUUGAGAUUUUUUUCUGGCUACCUCUUGAAUGAGAACGGAAGGAGGAGACUCAUGGUGUGGCAUAUAAGCAGAGAUGAAGAUUCCGACAGAGAUUUUGGUCGGAAACCUUUCCAUAGCGAGAGAGGUUCCAAUGCCACCAUAGCUAUGACCAACAAGGACCACCUUCUCUUCCUCAGGGAGAGACUCCAUGAAACUCAUCAAAGGCUCUAGAUACUCGGAGACAGAACGAACCUCGUCGAGCCUCCUCUUGUCGAUACCGGACCCACCAAGUUCAAUAGCUGUCACUCGUUGACCAUUGCCCUUGAGCUUUCCCGCCAGCUUGAACCAGCACCAUGCCCCAUGACAUGAUCCGUGGACAAGCACGAAAUGGUGGUGGUGUUGUUGUUGCAUGUGCUGUGUUUGCAUUUGAUAUUGUUUGGUAAGUGAUGUUAUCCUUGUCUAUUCGUGUGUGUAUAUAUAGCCAUUCAUCGGUAAAGGUGGAACCAUUUAAUUGUUUUUUAACCUAUUAAGGGAUAUGUAUCCCACAUUGGAAAAUCAAUGGGACAUUAAGUAAUAUAUAAAGGGUUAGGGCCAAUCCACUAAUUGCCAAUUGGUUUUGAGUUGGAAGCCCAUAAUAAACCUGAAUCUAACAUGGUAUCAGAGCCCAGAUCCUAAUAAGUUAAACCCCUAAUUAAUAUUAACCCUAUCCGACCGGGUAUAUAGGUUGUAAUUGACUCGCUCGACCGAGUAUAACUGUCUUAAAGUUCCGAGAUUUCUGGCCGAUAAGAGUCAUCAUCUCGAGGAGGAGUAUUAAGGGAUAUGUAUCCCACAUUGGAAAAUCAAUGGGACAUUAAGUAAUAUAUAAAGGGUUAGGGCCAAUCCACUAAUUGCCAAUUGGUUUUGAGUUGGAAGCCCAUAAUAAACCUGAAUCUAACAUAACCGGUUGGAACCGAUUAUCAAGGAAAGAGUAUCAACCAUAACUCAUAUGAUUCACUCAAUCACUAUAAUCGCUCCAUCAUAUAUUCUUCUUAAUGAUUAUAUGAUCUUCACAUUUAUUGUUUGAUUCAUAUAGCUCUAAUAUAUAAAGCUUUGUAACUCUCUUUGUAUUAAGAACACAAUUCAUACAUUUCUCAUAAGUUAUUACCGAUAGGACUGGUUCUAGUUUGGAACAUGUGUAGUUUUAGAUUCCAACAAGGUAAGAACAGUAAAACGAAAAAAACUAGAAUACGAGCUAAUUACAAUUAUAUAUUGGGUUAACGCCUCCUGCGGUAUAAGAUCUAACUAUAUUACGAGUUUAUUAAUGCUAUUAAAUCAGUUAAUUAUUAUCUGAUUUAAUACAGUGAUUUUCUAAAGCUACUUUAAGUUAUUAGUUAAUUGAAAGAAAGACUAUUUGGACGGUUAAAGAUAAGCACGUGGAAUACAAGAAAUUCAAUGCAUUAUGAAAUGAUAAAUGUCAAAUCUGAAACUGUUCAACCUUUGUUUUGGUAUCUUUCUCUUAAAAUAUUGUCAGUGUCAGAUCUCUUUGUUAAUAGGCUAUUAGGCCACAUUGCAACGUUUCCGAGUCAAUCUUGUCUGCCGAAGCUAUAAACUAUUUGAGAAAGUAAGACAAUAUUAGGUGAGAUGAUUUUAUACUAGCAUUGUAUGAUUUUUUUUUUUUUUGAGAAAUGGUAUUUGUAUGUUUUGUUUGAGAGAGUGCUUUUUAUUUGUGCUUUAAAUAUGAAAGAAAUCUUUGACUGUGUAUAGUUUCACAUUUUCAAUUUUAACAAUGUGUGUAAUAAUAUUUAAUAAAUAUAUUUUCAAAUAUAUCUAGCUAUCUUUAUUAAGUGUUCUAAAAAGAAAGAUAUAUUUUUUUCUGUCAACAAAAAAGAAUGAAUCUCGGUAUAUACAGUUAUAAAUCUAUAAUGUGACUCUAGAGAAUUUACAUAGAUAUUUUCUAUUAAUGUGAUGGUAUUCUUCAUUUUCAAAAUCCUAAUAUGUUUACUAUUUUUUGUAGGCACCAAAUUUACUAGAUAAAGAAAUUUGAUAUGUAAAGCAAAAAAUUUACAAAUAACAUGUAUAAAAAAUACAACAAUAUAAUAUCGUAGUUGGAAAAGAACUAGGUUGAAGCAGAGUCGAGAUUAAAUCUCUUUCCUUAAUCCUUUAAACACCCGUAGUGUGCCGGUUUGAUACGUUUAAGAAUCCCAUGAUACAACUACCUACAUCUUCAGUCUCACAGUACUUGAGAACCAAAGCAUUUCGAACAUAUUUAUAUGUUAUACUCUCAGGCACAAAACAAAAAAAAAACUUAGGAGAAAGUGGUUUGUAUUGGAUGUGUGUGUUUGGGCUAACAAGAUUAAUCUUAUUUGCAUAUGAAUUUGGGCUAACAAGAUUAAUCUUAUUUCCUUAAUUCCAAAACUUGAUCUAGCCCAAUUAUCUCUUUUCUUAAUACACCAAAGUGUCUACAAAGUUUUUAUAACUUUGUUUUAGUUUCUACAUUUAUAUACAAGAGGAUUUCCACCUCAUAUUUCUAAUAUGAAUAUUUUACAAAUAAUUUCAUAUUAGACUUUCAUUUCUCAUUCAAAAUGAACUUCGUUUUUGACAUAUGAUUUCACUAUAUUAUAGUGCUCAUAACAAUGAAUCCAACGAUUCCUCAAUCCGGUCAUUCCGACAAUCAAAUUGCUCGAAAAAAUCACUGGAAUAUUGGUCAUAGCCAUUUGUCCAAAAAACAGUUCCAACAUUUUUAUUUACUCUCAUUUUUAUGUUUAGUAGUAGCGUUAUGUUUUAAAAUUACGAUACCGAACAACUAGGGCGAAAAAGCCCUAAAAAUCUGAACGGAACUAAUCAGAAAAAUAAAUAUGAACUGAACUGAAUCCAACAUAAUUAUUUAAAUAGAUCUUGUUUUAUGGUAUUUCAGAUUUUGAGUAUCAAUGAACUGAAUCCUAAAGCAAACAUAUAUCUGAAAAGAACUCAAAACAUUUUUUUAAGUAUGCUACAUGAAAACAGAAUCCCGAAUAAGUAUCCAAAAUACUCAAUAUUUUUAAUGCAAACUAUAAAAAUACCGAUUACACAAAUAAUUAAUUCAACUACUCAGGUAGAUGUAUAUUUGCUAUUUGAUCAACAAUUGAGGUUCUUAUGUUUAAAAUUUACAUUCUAACUUUGAUUAUGAGUAGAAAUUUGCUUUUGAAGUUUAAACAAUGUUAUUUUAUUUUGAAAUUCAAAUAAUAUUUCAUGCAUUUAUAGAGUUUAUAGAGUUGUUAGUUACUUUUACGUUUCUCUCCUACAACUAAUUUUAAAUCAAACCACCAACUUUGCCUAGUGUAAAUUGUGUAAACUUCAAAAUUUUGCGAACUAAUAUGUUUGCUUUUGAAUCACAAAUCUAAUCUAUUAAAAUUGAAGUACAAAUUUGAUUUAACCCUGAAUUUUACUCAAUAAUUACAAUGACAAACCACUGACCAAAACACAGUAGUUUUACACAUUCUUUAACCAAUUAAUUUUGUAGACUAAUAAAAUCACUAAACCAAUCUGUCUGGUAUACAAUAUCUUCUCUAUUAAAAGAGAAAUACCAUUUUUAUCUACUACAAAAUUCUAGGUCCAUAUAUUCAAAUAAUAUUUUUAUUGUUUACAUUAGUUUAUUUAAUGUAUAACAUUUCUAAAUAAUUAUAAAGAUAUUAAUAACAAAUCCAUUUUAACUAUAAAUUUAAAUUUUAGUUUUAGGAUAGCAAAAUCUGUUGAGGAAAAAUCUAACAAAAUCUUUUUAAAAUUUUAAAUAUUCUUUUAAUUAAUGCACUGAUUAAUUUCACAAUUAGUAGUAUAAUGUUAUUAUAAAUUAAUUUUAAUUACAUUUUUAUUGUAAACAAAAUAAUGAAAUUAUUUGCUAAUUUUAUAAAUUUUAUAAGUAUAUUCUACAUUAUAUUAAAAUAGAAGUAAUUAAUGAAUUACAUAUUAAAAUUAUGUUUUUUGUGCAAACAUAUUAAAAUUAUGUUGAAUUGGUAAACCAAUAUAUUUUUAAAAAAUACUUUCAUUAAGAUAUAUAAAUAAAAUAUCAUUCACCGUUUAAAGUGACUAUAAUAUCAUUCACCUUUUAAAAUGAUUAAAAUUCAUAAAUUAUGUAAUAAUUUUUACAAAAAAAAUAAAAUUGUAACAUAUGUUAAAUUUUAAUAUUUAGAACUAUAUAUCAUCUAUUUAGUUAUUUUUAAAAUGACAGCAAUAUAUUAUCAUAAAUUAGUAUAUACAAAAUAACAUAAAUUUUUACUAUUUUCCAUUAUUUUAUUAAAAUUGUAAAUUUAUUUUACUAUGAAAAUUAUAAAAUAAAAUAACUAAACUAAAAGAAAAUUAGAAUACGACACAUAAUCUAAACAUAAAUCUCCGCAUCACAAAGAAAAAGAAAAAUACUAUAUUAACACUAACUCGAUAAAGGUCUGGAACACAAAUGAACGCGAUCAAGCACCAAUCCAAAAAAAAAAAUAGAUCAGAAGAAGAAUAAUCAACGGAAUACCAAAGUCACCACAAAGCCGGAAAACACAUGCCUAAAGUACAACCACCAGCUAAGAGGUAAGAACCACCUCACAAACAAAACAACCACAUAUAAGGGGCUCAUGCCAAUGAAAAACUCACAAAACUCUGCAUAGAAGAGACUAACUCAACGCACCUACACCAAUGAAAGCAUGAGAAGAAGAAAACAACCUAAGGGAGGAAGAAUAGAAGCCAACCACAGAGAAACCAAAGCUCAAGUUUGAGACAAGAAAUAAUCUUCCAAGCCUACAAAACAUACACGAAAGAAAACACUUCCAACCCUGGAGUGGCAAACAUGGCGAAAUGGAAAGCCACCAGAGACACAACCAGCAAUGAAAAGUGUAACGAGAUGAGAGAACAAAAAGAGAAAAAGAGACUACACAAAAUCAGCAAACUAUGGAACACAAAUGAACGCGAUCAAACACCAACCCAGAAAAACCAAAAAAGCGAAUCAAAGGAAGAAUAAUCACCGGAAGACCAAAGUUACCAUGAAGCUGGAAAACACAUGCUUAUAGCACUAUCACCAGCUAAGAGGUAAGAAACACCUCACAAACAAAACAACCAUAUACAAGGUGCCACACCAAUGAAGAACCACAAAGCUCUGAACAGAAGAGACGAAAGCUCCAAGAAACUAACUCCACAAACCUAUACCAAGGGAAGCAUGAGAAGAAGAAAAACAACCUAAAGGAGCGAGAAUGGAAGCCAACCACAGAGAAACCAAAGCUCAAGUUUAAGACAAGAAAUAAUCUUCCAAGCCCACAAAACAUACGCGGAGGAAAACACUAUCUAAACCUGGAGUGGCAAACAUGGCGAAAUGGAGAGUCACUAGAGAUGAAAAGUGCAGUAAGAUGAGAGAACAAAGAGAGAAAAUGAAACUACAAAAAAUCAGCAAACUAUGGAGUCGUCCUCGAGCUAUGAAGAGAACAUAAAGCCAGAUCACGAAAAACCAGAUCUUGAAAACCAAGACGCGCAUGGACUAUCAACGGCAAGCCAACUACGAGGAAGACAACAUAAAAGACAACUAAACUCAGACCCAACCCAAGGAGAUGUAAUUCCUAACAUUAGCCAAAUCUAAGGAAGAAUAUGACAAAUAUUGACCAGAACAGCGUACAACAUCAUGAGAAACAAUUGCACAAC
This 39226-nucleotide long non-coding RNA is filed under the name Brassica rapa (field mustard). RNAcentral describes it as "long non-coding RNA (BRAP_LNC002152)". Lineage: Eukaryota; Viridiplantae; Streptophyta; Magnoliopsida; Brassicales; Brassicaceae. The record is from RNAcentral.